RNAcentral lists this ribosomal RNA (449 nucleotides) under uncultured bacterium. Its description in RNAcentral is "SSU rRNA". It matches the Rfam family "Bacterial small subunit ribosomal RNA", at positions 26 to 518 of the family's 1533-position model. The record is from RNAcentral.
AGAGCGAACGCUGGCGGCAGGCUUAACACAUGCAAGUCGAGCGGGCGUAGCAAUACGUCAGCGGCAGACGGGUGAGUAACGCGUGGGAACAUACCUUUUGGUUCGGAACAACACAGGGAAACUUGUGCUAAUACCGGAUAAGCCCUUACGGGGAAAGAUUUAUCGCCGAAAGAUUGGCCCGCGUCUGAUUAGCUAGUUGGUGAGGUAACGGCUCACCAAGGCGACGAUCAGUAGCUGGUCUGAGAGGAUGAUCAGCCACAUUGGGACUGAGACACGGCCCAAACUCCUACGGGAGGCAGCAGUGGGGAAUAUUGGACAAUGGGCGCAAGCCUGAUCCAGCCAUGCCGCGUGAGUGAUGAAGGCCCUAGGGUUGUAAAGCUCUUUUGUGCGGGAAGAUAAUGACGGUACCGCAAGAAUAAGCCCCGGCUAACUUCGCGCCAGCCAGCCGC